GGGGGCGACCUGGUUUCGACGGGAUGACGAAGACCAUUGGCUGCAUGUAGUGUUUUCCCAAAAUCACUUUAAAAAAUUGGACGCCAAUUAUAAACGGCGAAUCUAACUACGCACUAGCUGCUUAAUUAAAUAGUAGCUCGUUCCUUCUCUGCUCUUGCCCAUUGGCAGGGUCUGGGGCGUCGCUAAAAUGGGAUCGGAGACUCAUUCGUCAACGGUGGGAAUCUUAAACUUAGUUGAAUAGUCGUUAUAAGAUCCAGUCCGGAGGAGCUGUAACGGUGAAUUUAAAGUUCGGAAUAAACAUGUAGACGCUGAUCGGCUUUGCGUUUCGGACGGGAGUUCGAUUCUCCCCGCCUCCACAU
This 359-nucleotide transfer-messenger RNA is filed under the name bacterium. Its description in RNAcentral is "JABMPR01 sp018650445 Standard tmRNA". It matches the Rfam family "transfer-messenger RNA". From Rfam's summary of the family: Bacterial tmRNA, also known as 10Sa RNA or SsrA, is named for its dual tRNA and mRNA-like properties. RNAcentral also lists the same sequence under 1 other name. The record is from RNAcentral.